This 301-nucleotide ribosomal RNA is filed under the name uncultured bacterium. Its description in RNAcentral is "partial 16S ribosomal RNA". It matches the Rfam family "Bacterial small subunit ribosomal RNA", at positions 509 to 807 of the family's 1533-position model. The record is from RNAcentral.
CAGUAGCCGCGGUAAUACGGAGGGAGCUAGCGUUGUUCGGAAUUACUGGGCGUAAAGCGCGCGUAGGCGGUUACUCAAGUCAGAGGUGAAAGCCCGGGGCUCAACCCCGGAACUGCCUUUGAAACUAGGUGACUAGAAUCUUGGAGAGGUCAGUGGAAUUCCGAGUGUAGAGGUGAAAUUCGUAGAUAUUCGCAGGAACACCAGUGGCGAAGGCGGCUGACUGGUCCACAACUGACGCUGAGGUGCGAAAGCGUGGGGAGCAAACAGGAUUAGAUACCCGAGUAGUCCCUGUCUCUUAUAC